GGGAACUGAAACAUCUAAGUACCCUUAGGAGAAGAAAACAAAAGUGAUUUCCUGAGUAGCGGCGAGCGAAAUGGAACUAGCCCAAACCAUUUUGAUUUCGGUCAAAGUGGGGUUGUAGGACUUUCAACAUCUGUAAUUAUACUGAACUGGAACACGUUGGGAAGCGUGGCAAUAUACGGUGAUAGCCCAGUACAGGUAAAGUAUGUUAUGGUAGAAAGACUCCUGAGUAGGGCGGGGCACGUGAAACCCUGUCUGAAUCUGCCGGGACCAUCCGGUAAGGCUAAAUACUCCUGGAAUACCGAUAGUGAACAAGUACCGUGAGGGAAAGGUGAAAAGUACCCCUAACAGGGGAGUGAAAUAGACCUGAAACCGUGCGCUUACAAGCGGUCGGAGCUCUUCGGAGUGACGGCGUGCCUUUUGCAUAAUGAGCCUACGAGUUACUGCUCACUGGCAAGGUUAAGUUAAUAACGGAGCCGAAGCGAAAGCGAGUCUUAACAGGGCGUGCAGUCAGUGGGCGUAGACGCGAAACCCGGUGAUCUACCCAUGGGCAGGUUGAAGUUGUGGUAACACACAAUGGAGGACCGAACCAGUUGACGUUGAAAAGUCUUUGGAUGACCUGUGGGUAGGGGUGAAAGGCCAAUCAAACUCGGAAAUAGCUCGUACUCCCCGAAAUGCUUUUAGGAGCAGCGUAUAGUUAAGUGUAUAAGAGGUAGAGCUACUGGUUGGGCUAGGGGGAGUCACAUCCUACCAAACCCUAUCAAACUCCGAAUGCUUAUACAUGUUUCUAUGCAGUGAGGGUAUGGGUGCUAAGGUCCAUAUCCAAAAGGGAAAGAACCCAGAGCAUCAGCUAAGGUCCCCAAGUGUAUACUAAGUUGAGAAAAUGUGGUGUGAUUGCUUAGACAGCCAGGAUGUUGGCUUGGAAGCAGCCAUUCAUUUAAAGAGUGCGUAACAGCUCACUAGUCGAGCGGUUCGGCAUGGAUAAUAAUCGGGCAUAAACAUACUACCGAAGCUAUGGCAUCUUUAAGAUGGGUAGGGGAGCAUUCUAUAUGUAUUGAAGUUGAGCUGUGAGGCUUGGUGGAACGUAUAGAAAAGAAAAUGUAGGCAUAAGUAACGAUAAUGCGGGCGAGAAACCCGCACACCGAAAGACCAAGGUUUCCUCAGCUAUGCUAAUCAGCUGAGGGUUAGUCAGGACCUAACGCGAACCCGAACGGGGUAGUGGAUGGACAACGGGUUAAUAUUCCCGUACCUGCUCACACUAAAAGUGACGGAUCUCUGGAGUUGCUGCGUACUGACGGAAUAGUACGUUGAAGCAGUAAUGCGAUAGUACACUAAGGCUACGGCCGCGGUGAUAAUGUAGCGAAGGAGGUUCCAAGAAAAGCGAGUGAAGCAGCCUGUACCGUAAACCGACACAGGUGGUUGGGAUGAGAAUUCUAAGGUGCUCGAGAGAUUCAUGGCUAAGGAACUAGGCAAAAUCGACCCGUAACUUCGGGAGAAGGGUCGCCCUCCAAUGGAGGGCCGCAGUGAAGAGGUCCAGGCGACUGUUUAUCAAAAACACAGGGCUCUGCUAAAUCGA
RNAcentral lists this ribosomal RNA (1573 nucleotides) under Asterionellopsis glacialis. RNAcentral describes it as "partial Bacterial large subunit ribosomal RNA". It matches the Rfam family "Bacterial large subunit ribosomal RNA", at positions 188 to 1834 of the family's 2925-position model. Lineage: Eukaryota; Bacillariophyta; Plagiogrammaphyceae; Rhaphoneidales; Asterionellopsidaceae. The record is from RNAcentral.